RNAcentral lists this non-coding RNA (117 nucleotides) under Homo sapiens (human). The record is from Rfam by way of RNAcentral. Lineage: Eukaryota; Metazoa; Chordata; Mammalia; Primates; Hominidae.
GUCGGGUGUGGUGGCUCACGCCUAUAAUCCCAGCACUUUGGGAGACUGAGGUGGGCGGAUCACCUGAGGCCAGGAGUUCGAGACCAGCCUGGCCAACAUGGUGAAACCCCAUCUCUA